This is a small nuclear RNA of Ochotona princeps (American pika), 196 nucleotides long. Its record names the gene U2. It matches the Rfam family "U2 spliceosomal RNA". From Rfam's summary of the family: U2 is a small nuclear RNA (snRNA) component of the spliceosome (involved in pre-mRNA splicing). Complementary binding between U2 snRNA (in an area lying towards the 5' end but 3' to hairpin I) and the branchpoint sequence (BPS) of the intron results the bulging out of an unpaired adenosine, on the BPS, which initiates a nucleophilic attack at the intronic 5' splice site, thus starting the first of two transesterification reactions that mediate splicing. Lineage: Eukaryota; Metazoa; Chordata; Mammalia; Lagomorpha; Ochotonidae. The record is from Ensembl.
AUCGCUUCUCGACCUUUUGGCUAAGAUCAAGUGUAGUAUCUGUUCUUAUCAGUUUAAAAAGGGACAACUAGGGGUGGGCAUUUUGACACAGUGGUUUAGUCAUCACUGGGGUGCCCAUAUUCCACAUCGAAGUGCCUGGCUUGAGUCCUGGUUCUGCUUCUUCCUUUUUUUUUAAAAAAAAAAAAAAAAACUGGAA